Long non-coding RNA from Astatotilapia calliptera (eastern happy), 1108 nucleotides. NCBI's taxonomy places the organism in Eukaryota, Metazoa, Chordata, Actinopteri, Cichliformes, Cichlidae. The record is from Ensembl.
UUUCCUAAAUCCACUAAUCGUAUUACAUCCAUCCAUCAUCCAUCCAGGAGCCCAGGAGGCAUCCUUGUCAGAUGCCCAAACCACCUCAACUGGCUCCUUUCGAUGUGGAGGAGCAGCGGCUCUACUCUGAGCCUCUCUCGAAUGGCCGAACUUCUCACCCUAUCGCUAAGGGAGAGGCCAGCCACUCUUCGGAGGAAACCCAUUUCCGCUGCUUGAAUUCGCUAUCUCGUUCUUUCGGUCACCACAGCUCAUGACCAUAGGUGAGGGUAGGGGCGUAGAUCGACCGGUAAAUUGAGAGCUUCACUUUUACACUCAGCUCUCUCUUCACCACAACAGACCGGUACAGCGUCCGCAUCGCUGCAGCCCCUGCACCAAUCCGUCUGUCGAUCUCCCGCUCCCUUCUCCUGUCACUCGUGAACAAGACCCCGAGAUACUUAAACUCCUCCACUUGGGGCAGGGUCUCGUCCCUGACCCGGAGUGGGUGCUCCACCCUUUUCGUAUUACAGUCACUAAUAAAAUAAUUAUGCUAAGUAUAACUAAUUGUUUUAUAGUUGCAUGCAGAAUGAGUGAUAUAAAAAAACAAAACAAAAAAGAAUCAUUAUGUAAGUACAAAAUUUUCCUGAAUUCGGUCUACAACUGAAGGGUAAAGCUAUGAAAAUCAUCCAUCUAUUGAUGACAAAGACAUAACCAUAAAUUUCCAACUGUCCCCAGGUCAGAACAAUCCAUACACUGCUUCACACAUGACAUCAAGUCUAUUCAAAGAAUCUGCAAAGUCAAUAUGCUAACAAAAAACUAUAACUCAAGGAUUCCUGGGACAAGAAUGGUGCUCGGAUGACUGUACGCUAACCUGAACCAGGCAGCCAAUAUUAAGCAAUUAAAUCUUCAGCAGAGAUCCACAGGUUUGCUGACUGUCUCGUGAGGUCACAAAUUAUGGUCUUAAUGUACUGUGGACAUCCAUCCUGAAGCCAUGACAGGAAACGGGCUACGUUUGUAACGUUGCAGGUAUGGACACUCUUGCACUGUUUUGGCUUUGAGAAAUUAAGCUUAGAACACUUCUUAUUUAAAUAUAUAAAAUUCCCUCAUUCAUAACAUUUCUUGGGAACACCAG